This is a non-coding RNA of Aedes albopictus (Asian tiger mosquito), 113 nucleotides long. Lineage: Eukaryota; Metazoa; Arthropoda; Insecta; Diptera; Culicidae. The record is from Rfam.
AUAGUUACGGCGACAUGGUGCCAGAAACAAUAGCCGGUAAGAUCGUGGGAGGUGUCUGUUCCCUGAGCGGUGUGUUGGUCAUCGCGCUACCCGUACCUGUAAUUGUGUCCAAC